Molecule: long non-coding RNA, 559 nt
Organism: Raphanus sativus (radish)
Lineage: Eukaryota; Viridiplantae; Streptophyta; Magnoliopsida; Brassicales; Brassicaceae
Exons: 3
Source: RefSeq, a predicted model, not a curated record
GUUCUCUCUCACCGGCGAUAUCAAAGGCGAUUCGAAUUCCCACUAUUUCCAAACAACCAUCGUUCUCAACAUCGGCUAUCUAUCUCACUUCAUUCUCACCGUUGUCGCCGCAGCUUCUUCUAACCCUAGCGCCGCCGAUUCCUCUAAACCCUAGCACCCCCGCUUCCACUAUUUCCGAACAAACCGUCGCCCUCGCCACCGUGCUCACCAACGUUCUCACCGCCGCUUCCUCUAAACACUAGCUAGCACCACCGCUUCUUCUAAACCCUAGCGCCGCCGCUUCUUCUCUGUAAACCGUAGCGCCGUUUCUCUGUAAACCCUAACGCCGAUCUAUAACCACAAUGACGAGUACUCCAACUCCUUCUGCGACUAAUCAGACAAAAAGGAUGGAUAUUCCAGAACUCCCCCGUAGGUUAUACACAUUAGGGGAAGAGCCAGAACCCCACAAUAGCAUUUCGUAUCAUACGGAUAACAAGAAGUUGCAUACUGCUCUUAGGGAAGCUCUCACUGAUGCUGAAUUUGAAGAGCUCAAGGAGUCGAGAUUGGGAGUUUUCAUCAA